UGGGGAAUAUUGCGCAAUGGGGGCAACCCUGACGCAGCAACGCCGCGUGCGGGACGAAGGCCUUCGGGUUGUAAACCGCUUUCAGCAGGGAAGACAUCGACGGUACCUGCAGAAGAAGCCCCGGCUAACUACGUGCCAGCAGCCGCGGUAACACGUAGGGGGCGAGCGUUAUCCGGAUUCAUUGGGCGUAAAGCGCGCGCAGGCGGCGCGCCAAGCGGGACCUCUAAUCUGGGGGCUCAACCCCCAGCCGGGUCCCGAACUGGCGCGCUCGUGUCCGGUAGGGGAGGUCGGAAUUCCCGGUGUAGCGGUGGAAUGCGCAGAUAUCGGGAGGAACACCGAUGGCGAAGGCAGACCUCUGGGCCGCGACAGACGCUGAGGCGCGAAAGCUAGGGGAGCGAACAGG
Molecule: ribosomal RNA, 403 nt
Filed under: uncultured prokaryote
Also listed under: 1 other name
Description: bacterial SSU rRNA
Rfam family: Bacterial small subunit ribosomal RNA
Source: RNAcentral